UACGAAGGGGGCUAGCGUUGCUCGGAAUCACUGGGCGUAAAGGGUGCGUAGGCGGGUCUUUAAGUCAGGGGUGAAAUCCUGGAGCUCAACUCCAGAACUGCCUUUGAUACUGAAGAUCUUGAGUUCGGGAGAGGUGAGUGGAACUGCGAGUGUAGAGGUGAAAUUCGUAGAUAUUCGCAAGAACACAAGUGGCGAAGGCGGCUCACUGGCCCGAUACUGACGCUGAUGCACGAAAGCGUGGGGAGCAAACAGG
Molecule: ribosomal RNA, 253 nt
Filed under: uncultured bacterium
Lineage: Bacteria
Description: partial 16S ribosomal RNA
Rfam family: Bacterial small subunit ribosomal RNA
Source: RNAcentral